GGUUGGAAAGGGCAUCGCCGGAGUUCCAAAAUCUGACGAUCGGGUGGGCCACUUGGGCUAGUCGCCCUGUCUUCCCCAAAAAAGAGAAGCAGAAGGCGGAGAGCCCUCCGUCCGAUCAUGAUUCCACCCUUGGAGGGUCCCUACCUUCAUUCUACCAGAAGACCCUCGAGACUCGUAGUCGAGAGGACCUUCUAGAUCAAAGAUUCUAAGAGAUGAACCGACGGA
RNAcentral lists this long non-coding RNA (225 nucleotides) under Elaeis guineensis (African oil palm). Its description in RNAcentral is "long non-coding RNA (EGUI_LNC076072)". Lineage: Eukaryota; Viridiplantae; Streptophyta; Magnoliopsida; Arecales; Arecaceae. The record is from RNAcentral.